UACGGAAGGCAGCAGGGGGAAUAUUGCACAAUGGGCGCAAGCCUGAUGCAGCCAUGCCGCGUGUAUGAAGAAGGCCUUCGGGUUGUAAAGUACUUUCAGUCGUGAGGAAGGUGUUAAGGUUAAUAACCUUAGCAAUUGACGUUAGCGACAGAAGAAGCACCGGCUAACUCCGUGCCAGCAGCCGCGGUAAUACGGAGGGUGCGAGCGUUAAUCGGAAUUACUGGGCGUAAAGGGCACGCAGGCGGUUAAUUAAGUUGGAUGUGAAAUCCCCGGGCUUAACCUGGGAGUGGCAUUCAAGACUGGUUAGCUAGAGUCUUGUAGAGGGGGUAGAAUUCCAUGUGUAGCGGUGAAAUGCGUAGAGAUGUGGAGGAAUACCGGUGGCGAAGGCGGCCCCUGGACAAAGACUGACGCUCAUGUGCGAAAGCGUGGGGAGCAAACAGGGAUUAGAUACC
This 452-nucleotide ribosomal RNA is filed under the name uncultured bacterium. RNAcentral's name for it is "bacterial SSU rRNA". It matches the Rfam family "Bacterial small subunit ribosomal RNA", at positions 340 to 786 of the family's 1533-position model. The record is from RNAcentral.